Haemonchus placei is the source of this 75-nucleotide non-coding RNA. NCBI's taxonomy places the organism in Eukaryota, Metazoa, Nematoda, Chromadorea, Rhabditida, Trichostrongylidae. The record is from Rfam.
GGCCCAAAUUUGAACUAGAGUAGAUUAGUAUGGUCAGCUGAUCCUACUGUUCUACUCUAUUUCAAGUUUGCGUCC